This 430-nucleotide ribosomal RNA is filed under the name uncultured bacterium. RNAcentral's name for it is "bacterial SSU rRNA". It matches the Rfam family "Bacterial small subunit ribosomal RNA", at positions 1 to 415 of the family's 1533-position model. The record is from RNAcentral.
UGGCAUUAGAGUUUGAUCCUGGCUCAGAACGAACGCUGGCGGCGUGCCUAACACAUGCAAGUCGAACGAGAAAGGGGCUUCGGCUCCGAGUAAAGUGGCGCACGGGUGAGUAACACGUGGGUAACCUGCCUCUAAGAUUGGGAUAACUCGUCGAAAGAUGAGCUAAUACCGAAUAAGACCACAGUUCCUGCGGGGACAGGGGUCAAAGGUAGCCUCUGCUUGCAAGCUAUCACUUAGAGAUGGGCCUGCGCACCAUUAGCUAGUUGGUAGGGUAACGGCCUACCAAGGCAAAGAUGGUUAGCUGGUCUGAGAGGAUGAUCAGCCACACUGGAACUGAGACACGGUCCAGACUCCUACGGGAGGCAGCAGUGGGGAAUAUUGCGCAAUGGGCGAAAGCUUGACGCAGCAACGCCGCGUGAGUGAUGAAGGC